UAUUUAGCAUUUAGCCUAGCGGUUCCUUCAUAAUUUGCUAAUUCGUGUUCAACUCUAGUUGCUAGCAGUUCAAGUCCCGUGGGCGCUGUCUGGCUUUCCU
RNAcentral lists this vault RNA (100 nucleotides) under Pseudonaja textilis. RNAcentral's name for it is "Vault RNA (ENSPTXG00000006284.1)". It matches the Rfam family "Vault RNA". Rfam says of the family: This family of RNAs are found as part of the enigmatic vault ribonucleoprotein complex. The complex consists of a major vault protein (MVP), two minor vault proteins (VPARP and TEP1), and several small untranslated RNA molecules. Lineage: Eukaryota; Metazoa; Chordata; Lepidosauria; Squamata; Elapidae. The record is from Rfam by way of RNAcentral.